This is a non-coding RNA of Equus caballus (horse), 1087 nucleotides long. Lineage: Eukaryota; Metazoa; Chordata; Mammalia; Perissodactyla; Equidae. The record is from RefSeq and is a predicted model, not a curated record.
CGAUGGGGUGACAUCUCUGCAGGACAGUCAGGAAGCACGGAGCACGCAGCGCAAUGGAGAGUCACGGAACUGAUGGAGCCUGUAUAACUGACUCAUAUACCUUGCCAACUACAAAUGAAAUGAUGGAUAACAUUGAUGAGAAAGUGGAGAAGAAACUCAAGUGAGGCAGACUUUGAAGACAGAUUACAUCACACACGUGGAUGAGCUGGGCUCCUACAUAAGGGCCAAGCCUAACAUACCGUGACUCUUCCUCAUGAUCCCCAGCUGGCCCUGGAGGUGUACUUUGGUCCCUGCAGCAGCCCAUACCAGUUUCAGCUGAUGUGACCAGGGAAGUGGAAUGGGGCCAGAAAUGCCAUCCUGACCCAAUGGGAUCAGACAGUAAAGCCCCCCAGGACAAGAGCUGUCAGUCAAGUUCAGAGACCCCAACCCUUUUACAAUUUGCUCAGAAUACUUUCAUUCCCAGUGCUUCUUCCAGCUGUUUUGCUAACAUUUUAUUAAUGAGAAACUCCUUUGAGUAUCAGAGUUUAGCCUAGAAGUUUAAUUACAGAUAUGUACAGUCAUGUACUGCAUAAUGACAUUUUGGUUAACAACAGAUUGCAUACACAACAGUAGUCCCAUAAGAUUAGCACCAUGUAGCCUAGGCAUGUAGUAGGCUAUACCAUCUAGGUUUGUAUAAGGACACUCUAUGACGUUCACACAAUGAGAAAAUUGCCUAAUGAGGAAAUUGUCUAAUGACGCAUUUCUCAGAACGUAUCCCCAUGGUUAAGUGACAUGAGACUGUAUACACAUGUGUACAAGUAUAAAAUCUCAGAGCUCCUCUUUCCCUUCCUGCAGAUGUGAAAAUGAAUCCUGGCUUAUUUAACUCAAAGUCUAAAUAAAAUUGAAAAUAUUCAGUCUCUCCCUUUCUAAUGAGAAUCUAUACUCUAAAAGGUUUUUCACAUGCUGAGUCGGCAAGCUUGGAGAUGUUUGAGAUAAGGAAGAAUAUGAGAGGGUGAAUCAGAGUGAGCACAGAUUUGCAGGCUGAACAAAGUUUAAUGAACUUUUAUUUUUUAAAUAUACUUUUUGGUCAGGAAGAUUGACCCUGAGC